Molecule: ribosomal RNA, 893 nt
Filed under: Bacillus siamensis
Lineage: Bacteria; Bacillati; Bacillota; Bacilli; Caryophanales; Bacillaceae
Description: bacterial SSU rRNA
Rfam family: Bacterial small subunit ribosomal RNA
Source: RNAcentral
GCUAUACUGCACGUCGAGCGGAAGAUGGGAGCUUGCUCCCUGAUGUUAGCGGCGGACGGGUGAGUAACACGUGGGUAACCUGCCUGUAAGACUGGGAUAACUCCGGGAAACCGGGGCUAAUACCGGAUGGUUGUCUGAACCGCAUGGUUCAGACAUAAAAGGUGGCUUCGGCUACCACUUACAGAUGGACCCGCGGCGCAUUAGCUAGUUGGUGAGGUAACGGCUCACCAAGGCGACGAUGCGUAGCCGACCUGAGAGGGUGAUCGGCCACACUGGGACUGAGACACGGCCCAGACUCCUACGGGAGGCAGCAGUAGGGAAUCUUCCGCAAUGGACGAAAGUCUGACGGAGCAACGCCGCGUGAGUGAUGAAGGUUUUCGGAUCGUAAAGCUCUGUUGUUAGGGAAGAACAAGUGCCGUUCAAAUAGGGCGGCACCUUGACGGUACCUAACCAGAAAGCCACGGCUAACUACGUGCCAGCAGCCGCGGUAAUACGUAGGUGGCAAGCGUUGUCCGGAAUUAUUGGGCGUAAAGGGCUCGCAGGCGGUUUCUUAAGUCUGAUGUGAAAGCCCCCGGCUCAACCGGGGAGGGUCAUUGGAAACUGGGGAACUUGAGUGCAGAAGAGGAGAGUGGAAUUCCACGUGUAGCGGUGAAAUGCGUAGAGAUGUGGAGGAACACCAGUGGCGAAGGCGACUCUCUGGUCUGUAACUGACGCUGAGGAGCGAAAGCGUGGGGAGCGAACAGGAUUAGAUACCCUGGUAGUCCACGCCGUAAACGAUGAGUGCUAAGUGUUACGGGGUUUCCGCCCCUUAGUGCUGCAGCUAACGCAUUAAGCACUCCGCCUGGGGAGUACGGUCGCAAGACUGAAACUCAAAGGAAUUGACGGGGGCCCGC